Molecule: ribosomal RNA, 498 nt
Filed under: uncultured bacterium
Lineage: Bacteria
Description: partial 16S ribosomal RNA
Rfam family: Bacterial small subunit ribosomal RNA
Source: RNAcentral
AUUGAACGCUGGCGGCAUGCCUUACACAUGCAAGUCGAACGGUAACAGGUCUUCGGAUGCUGACGAGUGGCGAACGGGUGAGUAAUACAACGGAACGUGCCUAGUAGUGGGGGAUAACUACUCGAAAGAGUGGCUAAUACCGCAUGAGAUCUACGGAUGAAAGCAGGGGAUCGCAAGACCUUGUGCUACUACAGCGGCCGAUGGCAGAUUAGGUAGUUGGUGGGAUAAAAGCUUACCAAGCCGACGAUCUGUAGCUGGUCUGAGAGGACGAUCAGCCACACUGGGACUGAGACACGGCCCAGACUCCUACGGGAGGCAGCAGUGGGGAAUUUUGGACAAUGGGCGAAAGCCUGAUCCAGCAAUGCCGCGUGCAGGAUGAAGGCCUUCGGGUUGUAAACUGCUUUUGUACGGAACGAAAAGCCCCGGGUUAAUACCCUGGGGUCAUGACGGUACCGUAAGAAUAAGCACCGGCUAACUACGUGCCAGCCGCCGCAGUAA